CACGUAGUUGGCCGGCGCUUCUUCUGCGGGUACCGUCACUCUCGCUUCGUCCCCGCUGAAAGAGGUUUACAACCCGAAGGCCGUCAUCCCUCACGCGGCGUUGCUGCGUCAGGCUUUCGCCCAUUGCGCAAGAUUCCCCACUGCUGCCUCCCGUAGGAGUCUGGGCCGUGUCUCAGUCCCAGUGUGGCCGGUCGCCCUCUCAGGCCGGCUACCCGUCACAGCCUUGGUAGGCCAUUACCCCACCAACAAGCUGAUAGGCCGCGAGCCCAUCCCUAGCCGGUCAAAGACCUUUCCACCCCCGACCCAUGCGGGCAGAAGUCAUAUCCGGUAUUAGACCCAGUUUCCCAGGCUUAUCCCAGAGCUAGGGGCAGGUUACUCACGUGUUACUCACCCGUUCGCCGCUCGAGUACCCCCGAAGGGGCCUUUCCGCACGACUUGCAUGUGUUAAGCACGCCGCCAGCGUCGUCCUGACCAGGAUCAAACUC
RNAcentral lists this ribosomal RNA (485 nucleotides) under uncultured Actinomycetales bacterium. RNAcentral's name for it is "partial 16S ribosomal RNA". Lineage: Bacteria; Bacillati; Actinomycetota; Actinomycetes; Actinomycetales. The record is from RNAcentral.